Molecule: ribosomal RNA, 464 nt
Filed under: uncultured bacterium
Lineage: Bacteria
Description: partial 16S ribosomal RNA
Rfam family: Bacterial small subunit ribosomal RNA
Source: RNAcentral
GACGAACGCUGGCGGCGUGCUUAACACAUGCAAGUCGAACGGAAAGGCCCUUUCUUUGUUGCGCGCUCGACGGGCGAGCGGGUGAGAAAAACGUGAGGUACCCCCCCCUUUGUUUUGGGGAUAGUCAGGUAACUGUGGUACUUAACCGGUAGGACUUCUUCCUGCAUGGGGUGGGUUAGCUAAGGCGGUUGGGGAUGGACUCUCGCCCUGUCUGCUUGCUGGUGGGGGGGUGGGUUACGAUGGCGGUGACGGGUGGCAGGCCUGAGAGGGUGACCGGCCACAUUGGGACUGAGAUACGGCCCAGACUCCUACGGGAGGCAGAAGGGGGGAAUAUUGCACAAUGGGCGGAAGCCUGAUGAAGAAACGCCGCGUGCGGGAUGACGGCUUUCGGGUUGUAAACCGCUUUAGCCUGUGACGAAGCGUGAGUGACGGUAAUGGGUAAAGAAGCACCGGCUAACUACGUG